Molecule: long non-coding RNA, 567 nt
Filed under: Salmo trutta (river trout)
Lineage: Eukaryota; Metazoa; Chordata; Actinopteri; Salmoniformes; Salmonidae
Description: lncRNA (ENSSTUG00000047395.1)
Source: RNAcentral
CUCGUGACAGUAGGACAGAUGCUUCUCACAGGCAAAUACUGCCUUCGUUGCAGGAAGUGUAGCGAAGCAGCAGUACAGCGCAUGUUCUGACAACUCUCUGCAAGCAAAUGAUGAAUUCUCUGCAGUAAAACGAGUCUUAGGGCCCGGCGCUAGGUUUCUACAAAGCUUGCCUCGUCGAGAACCAGGAUUCCCUUAUACAGGUUGGCAAUGUUGCUUUAACGGCUGUCGUGGUGAAUGGAUGACCAAAACGCAGACGGGAUGUGAAUGCUCAUCUUUCUAUUUAAUUAGAAUAAAAUGAACACCAAAAAACAAGAAACAAUAGACCGCCAGGAACCGUUAGCAGGCUAACAUAAAGCAGUGCUAAAAACAACAACCCACAAACCCCAGGUGAAAAACACACUCCUAAUAUAUGACUCCCAAUCAGGAACAACGAUAUCCAGCUGUUCCUGAUCAGGAGUCACAAGACUAACACAGAAACAGACAUACUAGAAAACACAUACAGACUUCUUCUGCCACGUCCUGACCAAAAUACUACACAACUACUCCCUCUGCUGGUCAGGACGUGAC